AGCUACCACCGCGUCAUCGUUACUGAGCCGCAGCACUGCCGUGGCCGCACUCUGCUGCCGCCGCGUCUCACCAAGCCGCCGCAGGAGGAGGAGCGCUCGCCAGUUCUGCCUCUGCCUCUGGGUUCUGUGAGUUGCCGGAGCUCUCUGCCACCGGGAACUAACAUUCGAGCUGCCCAGGAAACCACCAUUAGAACCACUACUGUUUUGGUAGCUGCCGGCUCUAUUUGGAGAUUGCUAGUGCCAUUGGAGUCGCCGGGAACCAAUGUUGGAGCCGCUCUUGAUGAUUCUGAUGCUGCUACGUAGGUCCCGAGCUGCUGUGUUGUUGCCAGAGGAAGGGAACUCAUAUGAAAACGUUACCGAGGCUGCUGCUUGGUUUAAUUACGUUGUUAAUGCGACAUUGAGUGACACAGGUCCGAAGACUCAGUUUGAAGCUGCGGGCGAUUCUAGAACUUAUUUACGAGUUAAGUGUAUGAGU
Non-coding RNA from Arachis ipaensis, 475 nucleotides. NCBI's taxonomy places the organism in Eukaryota, Viridiplantae, Streptophyta, Magnoliopsida, Fabales, Fabaceae. The record is from RefSeq and is a predicted model, not a curated record.